GCGAUUGAUAUCCCCAACAAUCAGCUCUUCAUUUUGGACAGUAACCACAACAGAAUAGUGGUAACUGAUUAUGGGAAUUUUAUGGUCCAAAUCGGUAGCUCAAGAGAGGGAGGUCUACGUGAUGGAUUCUUCGAGGAGGCCACGACCACCUUUAAUCAUGCUUAAGGCCUGGCUUACAAUGCGAAGAAAAACAUCCUUUAUGUUGAAGAUACUGCAAACCAUGCUUUGAGGGAGAUUGAUUUUGUUAAUGAAAAGGUGCAAACUCUUGC
Molecule: long non-coding RNA, 269 nt
Organism: Pistacia vera
Lineage: Eukaryota; Viridiplantae; Streptophyta; Magnoliopsida; Sapindales; Anacardiaceae
Exons: 4
Source: RefSeq, a predicted model, not a curated record